Molecule: small RNA, 422 nt
Filed under: Malus domestica (apple)
Lineage: Eukaryota; Viridiplantae; Streptophyta; Magnoliopsida; Rosales; Rosaceae
Description: sRNA MD10G0023100
Source: RNAcentral
CAUUUGUGGAGCCAAAAAUAAUCACAAGGCGACACGUGGAUUUUUGACAAAAAAAGACAAAACUACCCUUGAGGUAUAUUGGGAUUCCUACGUGCAAUCAGCAGACAAUUAUCCUUCAACCAAGUCAAAAGUGCCCAAAAUAGGUGCAAAAUCGUCCAAGAUCGAAGAGGAGAAAAUUUGCAUCCACAACACUUGGUGUAUCAUCUCGUGCACCGGUUACACUGAAAAACCUCUCAAAAAGCACGAGGCAAAGAAGAACAAAAUUAAGUCAAACGAGAAAAGAGGAAGAGACUAGAAAAGAAACAUUUCUUCAAAAUUUAAACCAAAAUAAUGAUCAAUUAACAAUUUCUUAAUUCUGCAUCAUGUUUAAUUCAGCUAUUUUGUAUGGUUACGAUCCAAAAAACUGGGAUGAUAAAUUCUAG